This 66-nucleotide transfer RNA is filed under the name Deronectes costipennis. Its description in RNAcentral is "tRNA-Leu". The record is from RNAcentral. Lineage: Eukaryota; Metazoa; Arthropoda; Insecta; Coleoptera; Dytiscidae.
UCUAAUAUGGCAGAUUAGUGCAAUGAAUUUAAGAUUCAUAUAUAAAGAACUCAACUUUUAUUAGAA